CCUGGUGGCUCAGAGGGUAAAGCAUCUGCCUGCAAUGCAGGAGACCUUGGUUCGAUCCCUGGAUCAGGA
This 69-nucleotide transfer RNA is filed under the name Ovis aries (sheep). It matches the Rfam family "tRNA". Rfam says of the family: Transfer RNA (tRNA) molecules are approximately 80 nucleotides in length. The record is from Rfam by way of RNAcentral. Lineage: Eukaryota; Metazoa; Chordata; Mammalia; Artiodactyla; Bovidae.